This 434-nucleotide ribosomal RNA is filed under the name uncultured bacterium. Its description in RNAcentral is "partial 16S ribosomal RNA". It matches the Rfam family "Bacterial small subunit ribosomal RNA", at positions 29 to 507 of the family's 1533-position model. The record is from RNAcentral.
AGCGAACGCUGGCGGCAGGCCUAACACAUGCAAGUCGAACGAACCUUUCGGGGUUAGUGGUGGACGGGUGAGUAACACGUGGUAACGUGCCUUUAGGUUCGGAAUAACUCAGGGAAACUUGUGCUAAUACCGAAUGUGCCCUUCGGGGGAAAGAUUUAUCGCCUUUAGAGCGGCCCGCGUCUGAUUAGCUAGUUGGUUGAGGUAAUGGCUCACCAAGGCGACGAUCAGUAGCUGGUCUGAGAGGAUGAUCAGCCACAUUGGGACUGAGACACGGCCCAAACUCCUACGGGAGGCAGCAGUGGGGAAUCUUGCGCAAUGGGCGAAAGCCUGACGCAGCCAUGCCGCGUGAAUGAUGAAGGUCUUAGGAUUGUAAAAUUCUUUCAACGGGGACGAUAAUGACGGUACCCGGAGAAGAAGCCCCGGCUAACUUCGUG